UCUCUUUAUUUAGGCUAUUUGCUUUAUACGAGCUUACAUGUCCUAUAAAUUUAUUAAUAGGACAUACCCUAUUAAUAAACCGCCAUGUUGUGAAACUGAAAGCAAAGCAUCCAGUAAAAAUUCAUGUCUGGGGAGCCAUAUUCCAUCAGGGACCUGGACCGCUAGUUGUGUUAGAAGGAAUUAUGGACAGAUGUUUUUACGAAGACACUAUAAUAAAAUUCAAUCAGGCUCCAUACGUAAAACAACACUUUAAGAACCAUAUCACUUCUUCCAAGGUGUAUCCAAAAAAUCCACUUAAUGGGAGGCUCGCCAGUCCAACUCCACAAUUAGAC
Molecule: non-coding RNA, 332 nt
Organism: Danio rerio (zebrafish)
Lineage: Eukaryota; Metazoa; Chordata; Actinopteri; Cypriniformes; Danionidae
Source: RefSeq, a predicted model, not a curated record